GAUGAACGCUAGCGGCAGGCCUAAUACAUGCAAGUCGAACGGGAUCCAGAUCAAAGCUUGCUUUGGUUUGGUGAGAGUGGCGCACGGGUGCGUAACGCGUGAGCAACCUACCCUUGUCAGGGGGAUAGCCCGGCGAAAGUCGGAUUAAUACCGCAUGACAUCAUUGAGAGGCAUCUUUCGAUGAUCAAAGAUUUAUCGGACAAGGAUGGGCUCGCGUGACAUUAGCUAGUUGGUAAGGUAACGGCUUACCAAGGCUACGAUGUCUAGGGGCUCUGAGAGGAGAAUCCCCCACACUGGUACUGAGACACGGACCAGACUCCUACGGGAGGCAGCAGUAAGGAAUAUUGAUCAAUGGACGGAAGUCUGAACCAGCCAUGCCGCGUGCAGGAAGACGGCCCUAUGGGUUGUAAACUGCUUUUAUACGGGAACAAACGUCGGUACGUGUACCGGUCUGAGUGUACCGUAAGAAUAAGGAUCGGCUAACUCCGUG
RNAcentral lists this ribosomal RNA (490 nucleotides) under uncultured bacterium. RNAcentral describes it as "partial 16S ribosomal RNA". It matches the Rfam family "Bacterial small subunit ribosomal RNA", at positions 28 to 507 of the family's 1533-position model. The record is from RNAcentral.